AUAUACAGCGCACAAGAAGAUGUGGAUCCUCCGCAGAGUGUGACACCGCCGGGAUCAUCACCACCGCCCAGAAGACCAUUUCCAGAAGCACCACCUGCUGUUAUUAUGACAACUGUAUUCCUCCAUUACCAACUUUGCCCCCAGAAAGCAAUGAAACCAAUGGACACAUCUGUGAAAACUGUUAUAUUAAAGAGCAGGAUAGCUGCGUAGCCAGAGAUCACAUCGCCUGCACCGGGAACGCAACGCGCUGUGUUUCUUACACAGAGGAAACCACCGAAGGGCUGUACAGAAGCAAAGAAAUCCUGCAUGGCUGCACCCACUCCAGUAUAUGUGACAGCGGAAAUGUGACCGUCACCCACGAUCAUAGGACCCUCCAGGAGACCAAAAUAUGUGGCCCUCUAGGAAAAAGCAGCAAGCAUCCCCCUCCCAUCCUACAUGUCUGCUUCAUAGUCCUGUCAUUGCUUACACUAGGGAGGGGAGGAUAGACUACCUCCGAGAAGCCGGAAAUACGCCAGCCCGUCUCCUCAGAUCCAGUGGAGGGUGGGCUCCGGAUAAACAGCGCCUCAUCUCCGCGGAUCAGCUUACUAGUCCGU
Molecule: long non-coding RNA, 593 nt
Organism: Bufo gargarizans (Asiatic toad)
Lineage: Eukaryota; Metazoa; Chordata; Amphibia; Anura; Bufonidae
Exons: 3
Source: RefSeq, a predicted model, not a curated record